This 126-nucleotide ribosomal RNA is filed under the name uncultured bacterium. Its description in RNAcentral is "partial 16S ribosomal RNA". It matches the Rfam family "Bacterial small subunit ribosomal RNA", at positions 338 to 481 of the family's 1533-position model. The record is from RNAcentral.
CCUACGGGAGGCAGCAGUGGGGAAUCUUGGACAAUGGGCGCAAGCCUGAUCCAGCCAUGCCGCGUGAGUGAUGAAGGCCUUAGGGUCGUAAAGCUCUUUCGCCAGGGAUGAUAAUGACAGUACCUG